GCUGGGAGCUCAGUGGUGGAAUGCCUGCCUGGCAUGCAUGAGGCCCUGGGUUCAAAUCCCAGCACUGCA
RNAcentral lists this transfer RNA (69 nucleotides) under Marmota marmota marmota (Alpine marmot). It matches the Rfam family "tRNA". Rfam says of the family: Transfer RNA (tRNA) molecules are approximately 80 nucleotides in length. RNAcentral also lists the same sequence under 1 other name. Lineage: Eukaryota; Metazoa; Chordata; Mammalia; Rodentia; Sciuridae. The record is from Rfam by way of RNAcentral.